CCUACGGGAGGCAGCAGUGGGGAAUAUUGGGCAAUGGACGCAACUCUGACCCAGCAACGCCGCGUGAAUGAUGACGGUCUUCGGAUUGUAAAGUUCUGUGAUGGGGGAUGAACACAAUGACGGUACCCCAAUAGCAAGCCACGGCUAACUACGUGCCAGCAGCCGCGGUAAUACGUAGGUGGCAAGCGUUAUCCGGAAUGACUGGGCGUAAAGGGUGCGUAGGUGGGUUAGUAAGUUGGCGGUGUAAUUCCGGGGCUCAACCUCGGCGCUACCGCCAAAACUAUUAGACUAGAGUGCAGGGGAGGUAAGUGGAAUUCCUAGUGUAGCGGUGGAAUGCGUAGAUAUUAGGAGGAACAUCAGGGGCGAAGGCGACUUACUGGACUGUAACUGACACUGAGGCACGAAAGCGUGGGGAGCAAACAGGAUUAGAUACCCGGGUAGUC
Molecule: ribosomal RNA, 443 nt
Filed under: uncultured bacterium
Lineage: Bacteria
Description: partial 16S ribosomal RNA
Rfam family: Bacterial small subunit ribosomal RNA
Source: RNAcentral